This 209-nucleotide long non-coding RNA is filed under the name Elaeis guineensis (African oil palm). RNAcentral describes it as "long non-coding RNA (EGUI_LNC044050)". The record is from RNAcentral. Lineage: Eukaryota; Viridiplantae; Streptophyta; Magnoliopsida; Arecales; Arecaceae.
AAGGACCCAAUUCAUCUAAUAAAUCAAGCCGGGAGUGAUUCUGGGCCGUCGGAUCACGAUCUGGGUGAAGCGCUACUGUUGGAUCGCGCUGCAGAGAUGGGAUCAGGUCGGAUGCAUCGCGGACCAUCCGAUCAAGGCGCUGGAAGAUUUUGUCCGUUGGAUCGCGCUGCAGAAGGAUCCCGUGUUGUCCUAGUGUUUAUUGAUUCUUG